UCACAAACCAUCAGAGGACUCACACUG
Molecule: non-coding RNA, 27 nt
Filed under: Homo sapiens (human)
Lineage: Eukaryota; Metazoa; Chordata; Mammalia; Primates; Hominidae
Source: RNAcentral